This 256-nucleotide ribosomal RNA is filed under the name uncultured bacterium. RNAcentral's name for it is "partial 16S ribosomal RNA". It matches the Rfam family "Bacterial small subunit ribosomal RNA", at positions 524 to 776 of the family's 1533-position model. The record is from RNAcentral.
UACGUAGGGUCCGAGCGUUGUCCGGAAUUACUGGGCGUAAAGAGCUCGUAGGUGGUUUGUCGCGUUGUUCGUGAAAACUCACAGCUUAACUGUGGGCGUGCGGGCGAUACGGGCAGACUUGAGUACUGCAGGGGAGACUGGAAUUCCUGGUGUAGCGGUGGAAUGCGCAGAUAUCAGGAGGAACACCGGUGGCGAAGGCGGGUCUCUGGGCAGUAACUGACGCUGGAGGAAGCGAAAUGCGUGGGGAGCGAACAGG